Molecule: ribosomal RNA, 380 nt
Filed under: uncultured eukaryote
Lineage: Eukaryota
Description: partial 18S ribosomal RNA
Rfam family: Eukaryotic small subunit ribosomal RNA
Source: RNAcentral
CAAUAGCGUAUAUUAAAGUUGUUGCAGUUAAAAAGCUCGUAGUUGGAUUUGUGGCGUACGGUGUGUUCCGGGCACUUGUUGUCUGAGUAACCUGCUGUUGCCAUCCUUGGGUGGAACCUGUGUGGCAUUAGGUUGUCGUGCAGGGGAUGCCCAUCAUUUACUGUGAAAAAAUUAGAGUGUUCAAAGCAGGCUUAUGCCGUUGAAUAUAUUAGCAUGGAAUAAUGAGAUAGGACUUUUUUGCUAUUUUGUUGGUUUGCGCAAAGAGGUAAUGAUUAAUAGGGACAGUUGGGGAUAUUCGUAUUCCAUUGUCAGAGGUGAAAUUCUUGGAUUUUUGGAAGACGAACUACUGCGAAAGCAUUUACCAAGGAUGUUUUCAUUGA